RNAcentral lists this long non-coding RNA (4547 nucleotides) under Jatropha curcas. RNAcentral's name for it is "long non-coding RNA (JCUR_LNC001209)". Lineage: Eukaryota; Viridiplantae; Streptophyta; Magnoliopsida; Malpighiales; Euphorbiaceae. The record is from RNAcentral.
GACAUUACCUCAUUGCCGACGGUGAUGAGGAUGAUUGUGCUUGCUGGAUAAAAUGGCACCACGUUGGUGUUGACCCAGUUCUUGGCGAAGUUAGGAUCGGAGGCUAGUGAAGGAAUAUCGCCAUUUGAGGCACCAAUGGUUAUUCCGAUUCCGGCAUUGGCUAAGGCUUUGAUUAUAGCUGGGUCGGAGCCGUAUAAUCUGACCUUUUGUAUUGCGGUUGAUUGGAGGAGCUUUGCCGUGGCUGAUGGCGGUGGGAGGUUGUCUGCAACUUGGCCAUAGUUCACGCCUAUGAAUGAUUGCGAGUCUGUACCAAAGGUACAAUUUUGGAUUAUUAGUUUAUAAUGAUUUUUCCUUUAAAAAAAAAAAAAUGACACUUUUUAACUGGUCAUUUCUAGUUUCCUGGCGACCAAACAGGCAGCACUUAAAGCCCAGGCUAACCGUUACGUUUUAAAAAUUCGUUUCUUUGUUUUUUUUUCCGUCAGAUCAUAUGGUACCCCUUAUAGCAAUGUAAAAUUGUCUUUCGAUUCUUUAACAAGACUAACUAAUUUAUCAACUACUAGUGAAUCUUCUCGAAGACAUAACAAAAGUUCUUAACUAGAAAGGUAAGAAGAAAACAAACACAAAAAUAUAAAUUGAAAGGAGAAAUCCAAUAAAUUGUUUUAUAUGUAUAUAUGUACAUAUAAAUUAAAUUUAACAGAAAAAGCAGAGACUUACUUGCUGUGCUUACAGCCUGUAAGAGAGAAAGAAGCAGAAAAGCAACAGAAUAAGAAAGCACCGCCAUGAUUGAGGAGCUAUCUCUGUUUUGAAUAUUUUUAGUGUUCUCUGAACUUUGAAGGUGAAAUCAAAUUGGAUGGACAAUAAAUAUAGAAGAUGCUAAAGGUCAUGGGGAGGGGGCAAAACCGUAAAGGAAACUUUCAGUGGGGGCAAUUACUUUUGCAAAAGGCACAGUAAAUUCCAUCGUACAUCCAUCCAUCCAUAUUCCAGACUUAGGAACUGGAACUUGUAGAUUCUUACAGUUACAGAGCCACCAAUCAUACUAAUUUUACUAUAGGGAAAAAGAAAACCAAAAGUUUCCCCUUCUAGAAGAACAUUGUUUGGUACAAUAAGUAAGAGAUUAGGGUUUAAUUAAUUAAGUUUAGAUUAUUAGAGAAAGGCUUAAUCCGACUUCAGUAUCUUAUAGCCUCAGUGGAAGGAAGUACUUUCUUCUCUACUAAGAAAUGGCAUUCCAUUUCUAGAACUUAACAUCAAUUACAAUACACAAAAGAGAUUUCAAGAAAGUAAAGCAUAUUCAAUUCAGUGAAAUGGUUGUAAAGAAGAGCUUCUCGCGUAAUUGUAGCAUAUUGAUGCUUGAGGGAAAGAGCACAAAGUUUAACUUACUUUAGGAAUUUGGGUAUGAUAGGUGCACAAGCAAUCUUUGGAUGACAAGCGGAAAGUAUUGAGCUUUUGAAAUUUGAACUAUCAAAUGUAAGAUUUAUCAUCUUGUUUCCUUCUCAUUGAACAACUCGUGGGAGCAAACUUUUCCUUUUUUAUUUUUUGGUAGGGAAAAGGAAAAAGCAAUUGGAAGGAAAAACCUUUUUUCUCUCUUUGUUUUUUUCUUUUUUAGGGGACUUUAGGCUUAAUAAUCAAAAAAACGUAUUAACUAAUUAAGCCACGAUGAUGAUAGAACAAUAAAAGUUUUAGUAACAUCGUUUAAUCAAGAAUAUUAAUUAUAUUUUAGAUUAUUUAAGGAAUAUCAUUAAUCUCAGUAUAAUAAGACCGAUCACUUAAGCAAUUAAAUUACUAAAAGAACGUAUAGUAUUAUUUAUGUUUCUAAUUUUUUAUUCAUACUUUUCUACACCAAAAUUUUAUUUCUUGAAAAUUAAGCCAAGAAGGGAUUUUAAGCCAAAACUUUAUUUAUUGAAUAGCAAUCACUAAUGUCAUUCUCUACAUUCAUAGAGGACGUAAGAAGAUGAAUUGGACUGCUGUUGAUUGUAUAAUCUGUUUAUUUUAUUUUUUAUUGUAAUAAAAUAAAUAAACGGAUCCUAUGGCUGGAGGCCCUCUAUUUAAGCUAAAUAUGCCUUUGCUCAUUGGACUUUAAGUCCAUCUAGGCCCAAGAAGGCUUCCACCUACUCUGCUGGGCCAGCUGGCAAUCAAAGCGAGAGGGAAGGAAAUAUAAAUUUCCAAGUUUUAACUUUGCAACUGCUUCAUUUUCCAUAAAUUUGAGCUUAAAUGCAAGGUCUUGGCUUGUUCAACUCAGUGAAAGGUUCGAUUAUAGUCUGAAACAAUAUAAAGCAUUAUGUUUAGGUACAGGUCUGCAGUAGCUUCAUUGUCAUGCCCAUAUACAAUUGACUUCUGGGUCCCUGUUGGAAACAUUAGUCUCUAGCAUUUUGAGUAGAUAGUCUUCUACAACACAUUCUGCUAAUCUGCUUUAUCAUUUUUACUGUUGAAUUUUAACUUCUCAAAAUCUUUAUGCAAGUGCUUAAUCAAGUCAUCCAAGCCAAGAAUCUUGCCUUCAGUGAAGUGAUGGAAAUUCUCAUGUAAGAAUGGGUACUGAGCUCUUGUCUUUUCCCUUUCAUUUUCAUCAAUUCAUUGUGAUGGGCAUAACCUCCGCCUUGGAGAAUAUUUAAGAGAAAUGUUCAGUUUGAACAAUGCCUCCGCCGUGUUAAGAAAUAGUUAAGACAUUUUAUCAGAUCAACUGCGCAUUUAUUUAAUGUGAAAUAGAUUUCAUUAUUUACUUCUUCCAGUAUUUUCUUUCCUCCUCUUUCCAAACAAGCCUAAAAGCCCUUUCCUUUUCCUGAAGGAAUUAUCAGUACAAGUUGGUCUCAGCUCAAAUAAGCUGUCACUUCCAUAUGGGAAAGUCAGACGUGUUAAAUGAAGCCGAGUAUGUUAGUGAGGAAUAAUUACCAACUCUGUUCUUUUUUAUGACUCGGCAAUUAUAUAGACAAGAAAAGCAGUAGUCUGAAAAGGGAAAAAUUAAAUGUGCUGUUCUACUUACGAUUAAGGGAUCCGAUAUGGGUUCUGUGUUUGUCGAUGACAAAAUUAGUUUCUUGGCCUUGUUGAACAUAUGUCGCUGUUGAUAACUGCACCACCCAAAUUAGCCGACCACUAUAGAGGUAAGAAUUUUUACAGACAGUAUUGUCUUGCAGUUUGUCCAAGUUUAUAAGGCAGUGUUUACUUUCUGUUCCAUAACAGGUUUUAGGUUGCAAUAAGCUUACAUUUUCAUCUGGAGAUAGGAUUUCUGGUCCUAUUAGGCUUUGAAAAUCACUAUCCACAGAAGGACCGCACAAGUUGGGAAAUUCAUAGCAUAAGCAGCAUGUGAUGCUACUAUAUGUGGCUCAAAGCAAGUCCCGCCUGGUUUUUUUGGACUACAAUCCUUCCCAUUUUCACAAGCAUAAUCCAGAUUUGCCUGCGAUUUGGCAUCUGAGACAGCAGCCUUGGGCGUACACCAUGUUGCUUGGUUUGGAGUUGGUGAUGGACUCACCGAAGGAGUUUUUGGCGUAGAAGGCGCCUUCAAGCAUAACAAUUUGUUAAUAAAGAUUCGAACUUUUUCUUUUGAAACUUCACUAGCAAUAAGUCCUUACCUGAUUACUCUUGGAGAGGCCAAUAUCAUAAAUCAUGGUAAGAUCAGGCUUGAAAAGUCCAAAUGCUCGCUCUGAACCAGGUCCAGGUUUCAAGUCUUCAUCAUAUAAAGCAAACAGAUAUGUAUCUACUGAUUUCCCAGGCAUCAAUGGAGUACCCACCAUUGAUCUAAGGUGUGCAAUUAAAUUACCAUUAUAAGCCUUAGCAUUCUCAAUACUUGGUCCUACUUCAUUGUCAUCUCCCUUAUAAGGCCAUCCAGUCUCUGCCACCACAAUCUCAACAUUCUUAAAUCCCAUGGAGCUCAAAGCAGAAUGAACAGCGUCUACUUGAGCAUCAAACAUGUUCAUGUAAUUAAUGUUUGUAUUUGCAUCAAAACGUCCUGCAUUCGGUUGGAAAAGACAAAAAGCCAAAGUCUCCGGCGUUGGAUCACUCCUGUAAGCAAAAUACGGGUACGGAUUGAUUGCGAAAGGCGAAUUCGUGGCAUUGGUAAAUGCUAAUAAUCCUUUCAUCAAAUCUCCAUAACUAGGAUCGAAGCUUCCAAUAGAUGGUGGCUCUGAUUGCUUCAGCACUGCCAUUGAGUGAACCGUAGACACCUUAAUCUUGCCUCCAAGGGACUCGGCGUCGAGCGCAUUUUGGACAUUUUGCAUUGCUGGUAAGAGCUUUGUCAUGAGAUUUUGGUCGUUGGAGGACAUUACCUCAUUGCCGACGGUGAUGAGGAUGAUUUUGCUAGCUGGAUAAAAUGGGACCACGUUGGUAUUGACCCAGUUCGUGGCAAAGUUAGGAUCGGAGGCUAGCGAGGGAAUAUCGCCAUUUGAGGCACCAAUGGUUAUUCCGAUUCCGGUAUUGGCUAAGGCUUUGAUUAUAGCUGGGUCGGAGCCGUAUAACCUGACCUUUUGUAUUGCGGUUGAUUCGAGGAGCUUUGCCGUGGCCGAUGGCGGUGGGAGGUUGUCUGCAACUUGGCCAUAGUUCACGCCUAUGAAUGAUUGCGA